GUUGUACACGAGCUGGCAGAAAGCAGGUUGUCAAACUCGUUAAUUCAGGCCGUAGCACUGUUGAGGCAGAGGAACCGUCAGGGGGUGGUAUCAUCUCUCAAUGAUCUUCUCGCAUGUGACAAAGCCGUUCCAUCAAAACCUUUAUCAUGGGACGUGUCUGAAGAACUCGCCGAUUUGUACUCUGUAUACGCGAAGAGUGAGCCGACGCCUGAGAAGUUGUCUCGUUUGCAAUAUUUGCUGGGCAUAGAUGACUCUACUGCAGCUGCUAUUCGAGAGAUGGGAGAUAGAUUACAACCUAUUGGUGCGGAGGAGGAAAACUUUGUAUUCUGAUUUUUGUGCAAUAAUAAUAGGCAUCCUGGUUAGGAAGUGAAUUUUCGCCAUGAUUGGUCCAAUUUUUGUUUUCUCAACUUUCCUAGACUGAACAAAAAACGAG
This 433-nucleotide unclassified non-coding RNA is filed under the name Hevea brasiliensis (rubber tree). Lineage: Eukaryota; Viridiplantae; Streptophyta; Magnoliopsida; Malpighiales; Euphorbiaceae. The record is from RNAcentral.